This 543-nucleotide ribosomal RNA is filed under the name Rhodotorula mucilaginosa. Its description in RNAcentral is "partial large subunit ribosomal RNA". It matches the Rfam family "Eukaryotic large subunit ribosomal RNA", at positions 96 to 655 of the family's 3401-position model. Lineage: Eukaryota; Fungi; Basidiomycota; Microbotryomycetes; Sporidiobolales; Sporidiobolaceae. The record is from RNAcentral.
AGCGGGAAGAAGCUCAAAUUUAUAAUCUGGCACCUUCGGUGUCCGAGUUGUAAUCUCUAGAAAUGUUUUCCGCGUUGGACCGCACACAAGUCUGUUGGAAUACAGCGGCAUAGUGGUGAGACCCCCGUAUAUGGUGCGGACGCCCAGCGCUUUGUGAUACAUUUUCGAAGAGUCGAGUUGUUUGGGAAUGCAGCUCAAAUUGGGUGGUAAAUUCCAUCUAAAGCUAAAUAUUGGCGAGAGACCGAUAGCGAACAAGUACCGUGAGGGAAAGAUGAAAAGCACUUUGGAAAGAGAGUUAACAGUACGUGAAAUUGUUGGAAGGGAAACGCUUGAAGUCAGACUUGCUUGCCGAGCAAUCGGUUUGCAGGCCAGCAUCAGUUUUCCGGGAUGGAUAAUGGUAAAGAGAAGGUAGCAGUUUCGGCUGUGUUAUAGCUCUCUACUGGAUACAUCCUGGGGGACUGAGGAACGCAGUGUGCCUUUGGCGGGGGUUUCGACCUCUUCACACUUAGGAUGCUGGUGGAAUGGCUUUAAACGACCCGUCUU